RNAcentral lists this ribosomal RNA (407 nucleotides) under uncultured bacterium. RNAcentral's name for it is "partial 16S ribosomal RNA". It matches the Rfam family "Bacterial small subunit ribosomal RNA", at positions 30 to 526 of the family's 1533-position model. The record is from RNAcentral.
AUUGAACGCUGGCGGCAGGCCUAACACAUGCAAGUCGAGCGGAGCGGCGGACGGGUGAGUAAUGCCUAGGAAUCUGCCUGGUAGUGGGGGAUAACGUCCGGAAACGGGCGCUUAUACCGCAUACUAUCAGAUCAGCCUCGGGCGGAUUAGCUAGUUGUUGGGGUAAUGGCCUACCAAGGCAACGAUACGUAACUGGUCUGAGAGGAUGAUCAGUCACACUGGAACUGAGACACGGUCCAGACUCCUACGGGAGGCAGCAGUGGGGAAUAUUGGGCAAUGGGCGAAAGCCUGAUCCAGCCAUGCCGCGUGUGUGAAGAAGGUCUUCGGAUUGUAAAGCACUUUAAGUUGGGAGGCGUUACCAACAGAAUAAGCACCGGCUAACUUCGUGCCAGCAGCCGCGGUAAUAC